AGGCUCAUAUGACCCAAAGCCGUUUGAGAGGUCAGAAUCCUUCAACCAACCCCCAUUUUGGUCAUCUGCCAAGAGAUUUGACAGAAGGUCCUGCUGCCUCUAUGCUGGGAAUGCGAAUCCCGUAGGUGUUGGUCGCUACAACAUCACCAAACACGAGAAACACACUCGGACGAUCCGGUACCAGUCCCUGUACCAGAGUGAAACGCGGCGGUACCUGAGUAACCUGGAGCGGGACGCCUACUUGCUUGAGCGGCUCAAGCCUUCUGCUAAGAACAACUGGAAUGAUUUGAUUGCUGUUCCGCAUCGCCCAACUGCUUCUGAAGAAAUUACCGCU
This is a non-coding RNA of Tinamus guttatus (white-throated tinamou), 334 nucleotides long. The record is from RefSeq and is a predicted model, not a curated record. Lineage: Eukaryota; Metazoa; Chordata; Aves; Tinamiformes; Tinamidae.